RNAcentral lists this long non-coding RNA (1760 nucleotides) under Amborella trichopoda. RNAcentral's name for it is "long non-coding RNA (ATRI_LNC000871)". Lineage: Eukaryota; Viridiplantae; Streptophyta; Magnoliopsida; Amborellales; Amborellaceae. The record is from RNAcentral.
CUAUGGUUCAAAUUGUGCAAGCAUGUCACUGUUGGCAGUUUUCACUGGAACUAGCAACUGUUGCCUAUGUUACCAUAAGUUUUGACUAACUAAAUAGAGUCCAAUUCCUCCCAAACUACUUCCAUUUGAAAGAUUUGUGUGUAUGCUUAAAGUUGUUUGUUGAAAUCAUCUUGAAAUACUUUCUAGAUUGAAAGUUAUACCUUUGAGAAGAGAGGUAUGUUAUUGUUACCAGCUACAAAAAUUUCCAGAACUAUGCUUGUUUUUAUAGUGAACUGUUUAGUGACCAAACUAUGCCCAUAUGUGUCCAAAUCACUUUUAAAUAAACAAUACGCGAGUCUAUUUCGAAAUUGAUUUUGGAACCAUGCCAAAAGUCUCCAUGCUUCGAUAAUAGUGCCCUAUUUCUAUGAAGAUACCAUGGAUGUGUAUGUAGAGAAUGUUAGAAUUGUUAUAUCCUUUUAUUGAGCUAAUUACUGAUCAAAUCAAGCGAUGAAUGUUGUAAGUGCUAUGUGACCAUUUUCAUGUGAUAGGUGUACGUGCCAUGUGAUGAAGUUUCACGUGAUAAGUAUAAGUGCCAUGUGACCAUUUUCAUAUGAUAAGCGUUAAAUGUUAAAUGCCAUAGUGUUAUUUGACCCAUGUUAUUUGUUCAGUGCUAUGUGAUAAAUGUCAUAAUAAUAUGUGAUAAGUGUUAUAUGACCAGUGCCAUGUGACAAGUGAUAAGUGAUAAGUGCCAAGUGAUAUGUGAGCUAUCGGCAUGCUUUAAGCACGACCAUAUUGUGCUUCGAUAAUGAUAAAGUGAUAUAAGAGACACUAUGCAUGGGUAAUCCGUGGUAGUGUGAGGUGAUGUGAUACGAAAGUGAUUGCCGACAUUGUUUCAUAACUCUUUAUGAUAGGAGGGAAGUUAGGAUGAGUGUAAUGGGAGGGUCGCACCCCCCGAACAAUUUAUGUGAUGUAGAGAGAAAAACAGUGAACUGUGUUUUACAAAGCAAGUGCCUAUCAAAAGCCCUAAAGCGUGUUGGAGAUUGUGUGUGUGAGUAUGAUGGCAUUACUAAAUGGGUCACUCAUUGUCAUUGCCUUCCCUCUUGAGUAAUGAUAGAAGUCCUUAACAAUGGGAUUGGCAUGGCUUGAUGAAUAAGGCUUCUACGUUGGGAGUAGGUGGACUAAGAAGUGAGUGGUUAGUACUAAAAUUGUGAAUGUGAAUGAUAAUGGCCAUGUUGACUGAAUGAUAGUUAUGAUAUUUGAUAUGACACCUGUGAUAGAUGUAUUGAUAAGACUGCUGAUUUAAAUGACAUAUGUACUAGGAUUGCUUAUAAUUGAAAGAAUUAUUCAUGAUACCUGGAUAAAUCCAAUUCUGAUGCAUAAUAUCUAGAUCUUCUUACUGGGUUUCAUAGCUCAUUCUAUAAAUUUCAACCCUUGUAGAUUGAUAGAGGUAGGUCUCGGGCUGAAAGCAGUAAGGUUCAUGGUCGAGGGUUGAAGCCAUGCCUUUGUUGUGAAGUCUCUACCAUUGUACAUCUAUUUGGCAGCCGAUCAUCGCUUGUGGUUGUUGUUUUAGGAUCUUAGGUAAUAUUGGGCCGUAGAUGCCCCAAACUCUUUUUGUAACAUUUUGGAGAGACAUUUUGUACAGUGUAAUUAAAUUAUGAAUGAAAUUCCUCUUCAUUCAUUUUAGAAUGAUUGUUUUUAAUUCUUCUUCGUGGUGUGCUUUAAUUACCGAUUUUAUAAAGCGUUGAGUUCACUCUGACCUGAGUGUCAUUCGCUACCUUGGG